This 139-nucleotide ribosomal RNA is filed under the name Enterobacter cloacae. Its description in RNAcentral is "partial 16S ribosomal RNA". It matches the Rfam family "Bacterial small subunit ribosomal RNA", at positions 1405 to 1533 of the family's 1533-position model. The record is from RNAcentral. RNAcentral also lists the same sequence under 4 other names. Lineage: Bacteria; Pseudomonadati; Pseudomonadota; Gammaproteobacteria; Enterobacterales; Enterobacteriaceae.
UGGGAGUGGGUUGCAAAAGAAGUAGGUAGCUUAACCUUCGGGAGGGCGCUUACCACUUUGUGAUUCAUGACUGGGGUGAAGUCGUAACAAGGUAACCGUAGGGGAACCUGCGGUUGGAUCACCUCCUUACCUUAAAGAA